This 445-nucleotide long non-coding RNA is filed under the name Crocodylus porosus (Australian saltwater crocodile). Its description in RNAcentral is "lncRNA (ENSCPRG00005011533.1)". Lineage: Eukaryota; Metazoa; Chordata; Crocodylia; Crocodylidae. The record is from RNAcentral.
UGUGUCCUGUUUUAUAGACUUCUGAUAACUUUUGUUCUUCCUCUUUGGAUUUUUUCUAAUUUAUCUACAUCUCUCUUAAAGUGCCCUGUCCAAAACUGCACACAGUUAUCCAGAUGUGAUCUUACUAGUGCUGAACAGAAUGGAAGAACCACUUCCUCUGAUUUGCAGAUAAAAGUUGCGGGGUGCCUGGUUGUUUCCAGCAAGAAAAGAGCAACAGUGUUGGGAGAUGCAGAGGAAUGAGAUUACAAACCUGAUGUCCCUUUGUCAGCCCUGCCUAGAAUCUGCAGAAUCUGAACUGUUCCUCUGCCACACAACUCUGUUUCAUUCUGAACUCCAGAACAGUCAAGCGUCAAAUAUCACAACUGAUGUGUGAAUUCAAGACUGUGCUAAGCUCUCCUCCCUUUUAAGCCUUGACUCAAACUAAGAUGGAAAACUGACAAAAGGG